Non-coding RNA from Salmo salar (Atlantic salmon), 54 nucleotides. Lineage: Eukaryota; Metazoa; Chordata; Actinopteri; Salmoniformes; Salmonidae. The record is from Rfam.
UGCAUUCAGUACUGUAAGUCGCAUUGGAUAAGAGCGUCUGCUAAAUGACUAAAA